Long non-coding RNA from Camellia sinensis, 853 nucleotides. RefSeq lists it as uncharacterized. The record is from RefSeq and is a predicted model, not a curated record. NCBI's taxonomy places the organism in Eukaryota, Viridiplantae, Streptophyta, Magnoliopsida, Ericales, Theaceae.
UAUGAUUACAAACAAAUAAAAAAUUUGUAACUUAUCGUUUUAUUCAUGAAUUUUUUUUUAAUAUAAAAAGGGUCCAUUUCCGAAAUUCGCCUUAGGCCCCGACGAACUCAGGGCCGGCCCUCUCUCAAGAACAUGGGUCUGAAGUUCACUACGCGUGCCCCUACCAGCCAUCCCACAAAAAGGGCUAAAAACACACUGCCCACAACUCACAAGCCCAAUAUACACACUGCCCAUAAAUAACGUGGGCCAAACACAUGAACCAAAAACCAACGUGGGCCAAGAAUUGGCCUUUCCCACUACCAGCAACUAUAAUCAACAUUGCAACAAAUGAUCAAGUCACAUGGAUCAUUACACUCGAAAGAAAAUUUGUAAAUAUAUCACCACCAGCAAGGGUGAUCAAUACUGUGCCCAGACCCCCAACAGUAAGCCACUUUUGGGUAGAGAAACCAAGCAAUUCCACAAACAACGAAACAGCGGCAACCCAUACUGCCGUAUAAACAGCUUUCCCAGCAAAUUGGAAGCCCAUAGUUCUUGCAUCAUUACAGUCAUUUGACUCCAUAAAGAAUUUUUGUGUUUGUCGAAUCAACCUUGAUAAACAGUAUGCGAAGGCCAGAACUGUAGAUUAUUGGAUCUAACACCCUGCAGGUACUGAUGAUAUGCCUCCAUCAAGGACAUAGUAUGGGAAGACUUGGAGCCAAAGGUUUCGUUUUGUUAUUUGAUGUAAUUAUUUUUGUAUAAGCAUUGGACUUUAAUUGUAUUGAGUUAAACUCAUUUUGAUGUAUCCAAGCAUUGACUUUGAAAGACGUAGCCAUUAGGGCAUAUAAUUACUCGAUUUUGCUUUUCUUUUAAUUCA